Ipomoea nil (Japanese morning glory) is the source of this 374-nucleotide long non-coding RNA. RefSeq lists it as uncharacterized. Lineage: Eukaryota; Viridiplantae; Streptophyta; Magnoliopsida; Solanales; Convolvulaceae. The transcript has 3 exons. The record is from RefSeq and is a predicted model, not a curated record.
AAGAGUAUAAAGAAUUCAAUCCAUCAAACACUGUACUCAUUGAUGAUUCUCAGUACAAAUCUUUUUUAAAUCCUGAUCAUAAUUUGAUCAUCCCUAUGACGUAUAAAGGAGGUCCAGAUAACUAUUUGGAUCAAAACAAUAAAUUUGUUAGUUACUUGGAGACGUUGGCUGCAGCAAAAGAUGUUCAAGAACACAUCAAAAGCAUUCCUUUUGGUGAGAUUGACCUUGAAACUAAAGCAGAUGAAGAGUGCUACAGAAAUUCUGCCAAAAAAAUGAAACAGAUCUUGAAUUGAUAUAAAAAAUAUUAAUAGCAGUCAUGAUGAAUUGGUCAAAAAGUAAAGUUUGUCUGUUGAAUCACACCUAAAAGUAAAGAG